CUGACUUCUCAAAUAAUAUUAUAGAGAUAUACCAAAACACCCUUUAUAUUUACCGGCUAAACCUCUUCAACCUAUUUUCUCUGUUUUUAUUUUCAUCUCAAAAUUCUUUUGAUCAAUGUUGACAGAUUUUCCUGCACCUAAAGUUGAAUCAAUCGGAAAAUGAAACGUAACUUUUCUUAAUCUCUAUCGCCAAAGAAGAGCGUCGUUAUGUCUGGAAGAAGGAGGAAAUGAUGAAGAUGAACUCCCGAACUAUACUAUUUCCUUAGAAUAGAACAAUAUGUUAUACUUUCAGAUUUGAUACUUCUUUUUAUCAUUUUCGAUUGCUUAUUAUAUAAAAUUUAUUUCAUACGGAUGUUGGAAAAAUAUUACAAAAAUCAAUAUGAUUUGUUUAUCAUACGGUC
Molecule: long non-coding RNA, 401 nt
Organism: Raphanus sativus (radish)
Lineage: Eukaryota; Viridiplantae; Streptophyta; Magnoliopsida; Brassicales; Brassicaceae
Exons: 2
Source: RefSeq, a predicted model, not a curated record